GCCUAGCUGGCUCAGCCUGUGGAGCGUGUGACUCUUAAUCUUGGGGUUGUGAGUUCGAGCCCCACAUUGGGUA
Molecule: transfer RNA, 73 nt
Filed under: Ailuropoda melanoleuca (giant panda)
Lineage: Eukaryota; Metazoa; Chordata; Mammalia; Carnivora; Ursidae
Rfam family: tRNA
About the family: Transfer RNA (tRNA) molecules are approximately 80 nucleotides in length. Their secondary structure includes four short double-helical elements and three loops (D, anti-codon, and T loops). Further hydrogen bonds mediate the characteristic L-shaped molecular structure. tRNAs have two regions of fundamental functional importance: the anti-codon, which is responsible for specific mRNA codon recognition, and the 3' end, to which the tRNAs corresponding amino acid is attached (by aminoacyl-tRNA synthetases). tRNAs cope with the degeneracy of the genetic code in two manners: having more than one tRNA (with a specific anti-codon) for a particular amino acid; and 'wobble' base-pairing, i.e. permitting non-standard base-pairing at the 3rd anti-codon position.
Source: Rfam by way of RNAcentral